This 1371-nucleotide ribosomal RNA is filed under the name uncultured bacterium. RNAcentral describes it as "bacterial SSU rRNA". It matches the Rfam family "Bacterial small subunit ribosomal RNA", at positions 28 to 1381 of the family's 1533-position model. The record is from RNAcentral.
GAUGAACGCUGGCGGCGUGCCUAAUACAUGCAAGUCGAGCGAACGGACGAGAAGCUUGCUUCUCUGAUGUUAGCGGCGGACGGGUGAGUAACACGUGGAUAACCUACCUAUAAGACUGGGAUAACUUCGGGAAACCGGAGCUAAUACCGGAUAAUAUUUUGAACCGCAUGGUUCAAAAGUGAAAGACGGUCUUGCUGUCACUUAUAGAUGGAUCCGCGCUGCAUUAGCUAGUUGGUAAGGUAACGGCUUACCAAGGCAACGAUGCAUAGCCGACCUGAGAGGGUGAUCGGCCACACUGGAACUGAGACACGGUCCAGACUCCUACGGGAGGCAGCAGUAGGGAAUCUUCCGCAAUGGGCGAAAGCCUGACGGAGCAACGCCGCGUGAGUGAUGAAGGUCUUCGGAUCGUAAAACUCUGUUAUUAGGGAAGAACAUAUGUGUAAGUAACUGUGCACAUCUUGACGGUACCUAAUCAGAAAGCCACGGCUAACUACGUGCCAGCAGCCGCGGUAAUACGUAGGUGGCAAGCGUUAUCCGGAAUUAUUGGGCGUAAAGCGCGCGUAGGCGGUUUUUUAAGUCUGAUGUGAAAGCCACGGCUCAACCGUGGAGGGUCAUUGGAAACUGGAAAACUUGAGUGCAGAAGAGGAAAGUGGAAUUCCAUGUGUAGCGGUGAAAUGCGCAGAGAUAUGGAGGAACACCAGUGGCGAAGGCGACUUUCUGGUCUGUAACUGACGCUGAUGUGCGAAAGCGUGGGGAUCAAACAGGAUUAGAUACCCUGGUAGUCCACGCCGUAAACGAUGAGUGCUAAGUGUUAGGGGGUUUCCGCCCCUUAGUGCUGCAGCUAACGCAUUAAGCACUCCGCCUGGGGAGUACGACCGCAAGGUUGAAACUCAAAGGAAUUGACGGGGACCCGCACAAGCGGUGGAGCAUGUGGUUUAAUUCGAAGCAACGCGAAGAACCUUACCAAAUCUUGACAUCCUUUGACAACUCUAGAGAUAGAGCUUUCCCCUUCGGGGGACAAAGUGACAGGUGGUGCAUGGUUGUCGUCAGCUCGUGUCGUGAGAUGUUGGGUUAAGUCCCGCAACGAGCGCAACCCUUAAGCUUAGUUGCCAUCAUUAAGUUGGGCACUCUAAGCUGACUGCCGGUGACAAACCGGAGGAAGGUGGGGAUGACGUCAAAUCAUCAUGCCCCUUAUGAUUUGGGCUACACACGUGCUACAAUGGACAAUACAAAGGGCAGCGAAACCGUGAGGUCAAGCAAAUCCCAUAAAGUUGUUCUCAGUUCGGAUUGUAGUCUGCAACUCGACUACAUGAAGCUGGAAUCGCUAGUAAUCGUAGAUCAGCAUGCUACGGUGAAUACGUUCCCGGGUCU